GCAGUGUUCUCUCCUGAGCUUCGUGAAGGUGGCUCUAGGUGUUGCUUCGGCAACUGCUUAUUGCCACUGGUGAUUGUCCUUCUCCUCCUUUGGGGGAGUAAGAGGGAGAGGACACAGGCUGA
Molecule: small nucleolar RNA, 122 nt
Gene: U3
Rfam family: Small nucleolar RNA U3
About the family: Small nucleolar RNAs (snoRNAs) are involved in the processing and modification of rRNA in the nucleolus. There are two main classes of snoRNAs: the box C/D class, and the box H/ACA class.
Source: Ensembl